UGUUGAGUUUGGAGGGUCAAGUUGUGUGUGAAGGAGCACAGCCCAACUUCAUCACUGGACUGGCAGCGCUGUUUGCCUCCUUCUAUAACUUCAAUUUACAGUACCAGGAAGAGGCAGCAUGCACCCUUGAGUUUGUUCAGAAACGCUUUGUUGACAUCAAUCCUGAACGUGGAUCAAAAGCAAAAAAUGAAAAGUGACUUCAAAGAAAACUG
Molecule: long non-coding RNA, 212 nt
Organism: Carassius auratus (goldfish)
Lineage: Eukaryota; Metazoa; Chordata; Actinopteri; Cypriniformes; Cyprinidae
Exons: 2
Source: RefSeq, a predicted model, not a curated record